UACGUAGGGUGCGAGCGUUGUCCGGAAUUACUGGGCGUAAAGAGCUCGUAGGUGGUUUGUCGCGUUGUCCGUGAAAACUCACAGCUUAACUGUGGGCGUGCGGGCGAUACGGGCAGACUGGAGUACUGCAGGGGAGACUGGAAUUCCUGGCGUAGCGGUGGAAUGCGCAGAUAUCAGGAGGAACACCGGUGGCGAAGGCGGAUCUCUGGGCCUUACCUGACGCUGAGGAGCGAAAGUGUGGGGAGCGAACAGG
RNAcentral lists this ribosomal RNA (253 nucleotides) under uncultured bacterium. RNAcentral's name for it is "partial 16S ribosomal RNA". It matches the Rfam family "Bacterial small subunit ribosomal RNA", at positions 524 to 776 of the family's 1533-position model. The record is from RNAcentral.